GUGCCGCCACGUAGUUGGCAAAGU
Molecule: non-coding RNA, 24 nt
Filed under: Arabidopsis thaliana (thale cress)
Lineage: Eukaryota; Viridiplantae; Streptophyta; Magnoliopsida; Brassicales; Brassicaceae
Source: RNAcentral